AGAUAUAUGAAGGAUAUUAAUCUACAAACAUUUUGCCAUUAAUUGGCACAAUAAUUUCCUAUGCAUUUUAUGUUUACCACAGAAAUAAAGUAUGAGUAGUUGUCUUCCCUACCUGCGGUUGGACUUACACUGCUGUUCUGCUCAGUGUUUGAGAAAUGCAUGCAAAUGCAUACUGUGAGUCAGCAUUAGGUCAUUUUUAUGGGUGAUUUGAGACUACCUUCUCUUCCCCCAAAUUACUUCUUUUCUUAUCUCUUGACUGAUGUUCUUCUUGGGGUUGCACAGGCAAGGGAAGGAGGCAGGGCUGAGACUGGGUUUGCAAGACACUGACCAGAACAAUAUGUCUAGGAUGAGGGCCUGACCUGUGAAGCAAAGUGUUGGCACAGACUGCACAUGGAAAAUCCUGUAUUCCCUGUGUGGCGUCACAACCAACACGGCAGGAAGCAGACAUGCUGUGGAAUGAGCAGCUCUGGAGACCCUUUGCUAGGACGGCAGAUCACAGAUUGCCCAGAACCAGUUAAAAGGAGAAAAGUAACAAGCUACAAAGACAGCUACUGGAAACAGAAGUUACUGGGGGAAAAAAGAUUGAGCAAGCAGUUCCUUUCAGAACACUGAUUAACAAAACCCAGAGCAAGCCUAGUCUACUUGCUCCUUAUCCAACUACACCACAAGACUGAGCAUCUUUGAGAAACACCACGUACUCUUCUGG
This is a long non-coding RNA of Cygnus olor (mute swan), 706 nucleotides long. RefSeq lists it as uncharacterized. NCBI's taxonomy places the organism in Eukaryota, Metazoa, Chordata, Aves, Anseriformes, Anatidae. The transcript is spliced from 2 exons. The record is from RefSeq and is a predicted model, not a curated record.